This is a long non-coding RNA of Spodoptera frugiperda (fall armyworm), 1211 nucleotides long. RefSeq lists it as uncharacterized. The transcript has 2 exons. NCBI's taxonomy places the organism in Eukaryota, Metazoa, Arthropoda, Insecta, Lepidoptera, Noctuidae. The record is from RefSeq and is a predicted model, not a curated record.
CAAAAAGCGAAAAAAAAAAACAUUCAAAACACUCGUCCCUAUAAAUAAUUACGUUCCCUUUUCAAAAUAUUUUCAUUGAAAAGAAUCACAGGCCUACAUAAAAUGGAACACAAAAUUCUUUUCAAACUGCGUUCGUGUCGAGCUGAACGCUCCCGUUAUGUUCGGUGACGUUCAUUUAUCACACUUUGUGAUACGUGACAGAUGCUCUUGUGAAUCUGUGGUUCAUCAACGUUGUUAGAAUAAUGGCGUCGAACAGGGCGCGGUCGCUACAGAUAACAGUUGUUUUGUAACUGAAACAUAAGGGUUUUUGAUUUGAUUAAAUGUUUUUUUCCUGUGUUCUUUGUGUUAUAUGCAGGUAUUUAAUUAAUUGAUUCAUUAGAAAUGUAAUAUUAUGACCACAAGGUACUGUAGCAUAGUAUGGUAGACUAUGGUGAAAAUAAAGGCUUUCACUGCACAGUUCAGGCGGUGGCUGGGCAACCGGCUGUCACGCAACUCAUAACUCGUGUCGCAGAUUCAAUUCCGCAGACUUCACAAGGGUAGGGGGACCCAAUCAAUAUUGAAGGCCGUGAAGAAAUGAAGACUAUUCGGCCGGAAAGGAUCCGCCUAACAUUUCUUCAGAACCCUUAGUAUGAGUUUGCUUUACGUUUGAACGAAAACAGCGGUGCGUUCGGCACUCUGAUUGGCUGGCGCGAAACAACCAAGCAACCUGAGCGCCGAACGCGCUCUCGUUUCGUUUUCGUUCAACAUAAAGUAAAUUCGUACUAAGGGUCCUGUAGUAUGUCUUGGACUUCAAAGAACGGUCGUCUCCCAUGUCUGGAGCUGCUGGCUUUAUCUUGUUAUUUGUAAAGAUUUCUCUUAUAAAGACUUGUAAAAAUGAUUGUACGAGCAACUUACGACCGUAGCCAAAACCAUAUUUUAUGAAAAAGGGCUACAGAAAAUUAACCGCCGUACUCAGAGUCAUUAAAUGCUCACCAUAUCCCACUGAGAAUUAAGGCAUUUGGUAAGCAGUGGUCACUAAUAGGUUGGUGAUGUGAUGUGAGUCCGCAGGGUGUAAAAACUAAUUCAAGAUUAUGACUCCCAAUGUCAUUUUUAUACUCCCAAUGUCAUUUUUAUACUCAUCAUCAAAUACGAGAAACAACCAAAUGUCAUCAAUUUAACUCUGCAACGAAUUUUUGAUCAAUGCUUUUACAAAAACGCAAUUAUGCAGCGCA